Molecule: long non-coding RNA, 305 nt
Filed under: Homo sapiens (human)
Lineage: Eukaryota; Metazoa; Chordata; Mammalia; Primates; Hominidae
Description: non-protein coding lnc-VCY1B-1:2
Source: RNAcentral
GAAUGUAACCAAUUUACCUAGAAGUUUGCUGAAGAAAUCAGAAAGCAGUCAUUCGGGGCAGUAACACUGGGUUAUGACUUCAUGGCCCAGCUAAGAUUGUUUUUGUUCUUUAGAAGUGGAUUCUUCCUUUCAAUGUUCACGAACUGGCCCAGAACCUACUUCAAGUAUCCAUCACCAACAGCAAAAUCAGAGAAAAUCACUUAGUCUCCAAUUUUUCCUCCAGGGAAGGCCUCAUUAAUGUCCUCCUAGCCAGCAGUUUCAUGCCCAUACAUGCAUGAUUGAAGCCAGCGGAAUACAAAGGGCAG